AGUGCGGACACAGGACAGAGGGGAGCCAGCCCUGGCUGACACCCAGCCCUAGGCAGUUCCUCUUGCACACAGGUUCUUUGCACUGACCAAUGCUGAGAGCAGACCCUCGGAGCAGCCGGGUUGGAAGUGUCUCUCCACAGUCACCAGACAGAUCCAGGAUAGGAUGGGCAGCCCAGUGCACCGAGUGUCAUUGGGGGAUACCUGGAGCAGGCAAAUGCACCCCGACAUAGAGAGCGAGAGGUAUAUGCAGUCCUUUGACGUGGAACGGCUCACCAACAUCCUUGAUGGAGGUGCCCAGAACACUGCACUCCGCAGGAAAGUUGGUAAGGGGAAGCUGGGGAAUGGGACAUCUGUUUUAUGCCCCAUGCUUCUCUUGUAAGAAGAGUCCUUCAUUAGCAGUUCUGCUUCCAAAUAACAAACUUUGCCCUUGAAAUUCCACUGUUAGAGAUUCAUUCCUUCGAACUGUAAAGACAAUCUUCACAUGUCAAUAUUGCCUGAGCCCACCUAGGGGAUAGAAGAGUCCUAGGCAGCAGAAGACCUGGAUUCUGGUCCUAAAAUUCUGCCACUGCAUAGCUUUGUAACCUUGGGCAAUUCACUUUCCCACCUUGGUCCUCAGUUUUGUCAUCUGUAAAAUAACAAUAAUGUCUGACUUCCUUUCCAGAUCCAUGAAGCAAGUGGGUGAGAAGAUUUGAA
Molecule: small RNA, 693 nt
Filed under: Pan troglodytes (chimpanzee)
Lineage: Eukaryota; Metazoa; Chordata; Mammalia; Primates; Hominidae
Description: retained intron
Source: RNAcentral